AUUCAGCUUGCUUCGCGGAGCAGGCGUAUUUCCGCGCAUGGCAGGUCAGCGUCAGUUUUGCGCGGCGUGAAAAGGCUCGGGUAAGGUAGCUCUCUUCGGGGAGUGUUAUAGACCUGGGCAGAUGCGCUGCGCGGGACUGAGGAUUGCAGCGGACACCCCCUCGGGGGCGCGGCGACCGAACCCUGCUCGGCCACCCUCGUUCGAUAGCGUGCUAGCGGACGCGGGAGCGGCAGUGCACCGGAACAGGCAAGCCAGCGG
This 258-nucleotide ribosomal RNA is filed under the name uncultured Archaeospora. Its description in RNAcentral is "partial 28S ribosomal RNA". The record is from RNAcentral. Lineage: Eukaryota; Fungi; Glomeromycota; Glomeromycetes; Archaeosporales; Archaeosporaceae.